This 73-nucleotide transfer RNA is filed under the name Archaeoglobaceae archaeon. Its description in RNAcentral is "tRNA-Gln". It matches the Rfam family "tRNA". From Rfam's summary of the family: Transfer RNA (tRNA) molecules are approximately 80 nucleotides in length. Their secondary structure includes four short double-helical elements and three loops (D, anti-codon, and T loops). Lineage: Archaea; Methanobacteriati; Methanobacteriota; Archaeoglobi; Archaeoglobales; Archaeoglobaceae. The record is from RNAcentral.
AGCCCCGUGGGGUAGCGGUCAAUCCUGUCAGACUCUGGAUCUGACGACUCCGGUUCGAAUCCGGACGGGGCUA